Molecule: non-coding RNA, 774 nt
Filed under: Micrambe villosus
Lineage: Eukaryota; Metazoa; Arthropoda; Insecta; Coleoptera; Cryptophagidae
Source: RNAcentral
AAAAAGUUUUAUUUAAGUUUAAAGUUUAAGUUUAAAGUUUUUUUUAUAUGUGAUUUUUUAAUUAAUUUUUAUUUAGAUAGUAUUAAUUGAUUUAGCAAUGAUUAUUCUUAAAUAUUAAUGAAAUUUAGAUUUAGAAAAAUUGUUUAAUUCUGACAAAAUUUGUGCCAGCCGUAGCGGUUAAACAAAUAGAGUAACUUAAACAUUUCAGUUUAAAUUAAAUUAAAUAUUAUUUUAUUUUAAUUAUUAUUUUAUUAGGUGAAAUUAUAAAGUUUUAUAAAAUAUGAAUUAAGUUUUUGAGGUUUAUAAAUUAAAAUUAAGACUAGGAUUAGAUACCCUAUUAUUUAAAUGUAAAUUUGUUUGCUAGAUUAGUAUUAGUUAUUUUCUUGAAAAUUAAAAAAUUUGGCGGUAUUUUAGUCUAUUCAGAGGAACCUGUCCUGUAAUUGAUAUUCCACAAUUUAUUUUACUUAUUUUAAAUAACUUAUAUACCGUCGUAGUUUGAAUAUUUUUAAAAAAAUUAAAUAUUCAAAAUUUUUGUUAUAAAAAAAAAUCAGAUCAAGGUGUAGUUUAUAAAUAAGAAGAGAUGGGUUACAAUAAAUAAAUUUAUUAUUAAUAAUGUUUUGAGAAAAAUAUUUGAGAGUGGAUUUGAUAGUAAUUUUAAUUAAUUAAUUAAAAUGAUUUUGGCUCUAAAAUAUGUACAUAUCGCCCGUCGCUUUCUCUAUAAAGAGGAAUAAGUCGUAACAAAGUAGGUGUACUGGAAAGUGUGCCUAGAGAGUC